RNAcentral lists this long non-coding RNA (24663 nucleotides) under Daucus carota (carrot). RNAcentral describes it as "long non-coding RNA (DCAR_LNC001276)". Lineage: Eukaryota; Viridiplantae; Streptophyta; Magnoliopsida; Apiales; Apiaceae. The record is from RNAcentral.
ACAUGUUUUCAAAUGAUCCUAAGACACCACUCCGUGCACUCUGCUACUUUAUGGACCCUGGAAUGGACCCGAACUUGGCGUUGGUCCAGUUCCCUCAAAUUUUCCAUGGGAUUAACAAGGAUGAUAUAUAUAAUGCUGAACUUAAAGAAAUGCUUGUCAAUAAUAAUUUGGGAAUGGAUGGUUUAUUAGGACCACCUUAUAUAGGUUCUGGGGGGUUUUUUCGUCGACAAGCUUUGUUUGGAACUCCAGUAUCACAUAUACCUCCCCAGCCUUCAGAAAUUAGUCCUCAUCAUGUUGUUAACAAGUCAAUGCAGUCCGCAGAGAUUUUGGCUCUGGCACACCAUGUUGGAGGCUGUAACUUUGAGGUUCAAACCGAGUGGGGAUCAGAGGUCAGACACUUUGGUACAUUUAUUAAUAAAAUUCACAUAUUACUUCGAACCAAAAUAUUAAAUAUUUAUUCUCUAAUUGUCGCAGAUGGGAUUUAGGUAUGGCUCUUUAGUGGAGGAUUUUAACACAGGCUACAGAAUGCAAUGCCAAGGAUGGAGAUCUGUUCUCUGCAAUCCAAUAAGACCAGCAUUCUUAGGAAGUUCACCAAUAACACUCCAUGACAUGCUCAAUCAAUGCAAAAGGUGGUCCAUGGGUCUUCUUGAUAUCACUUUUUCCAGAUAUAACCCUCUUUUCUUUGGUGUGCGGUUCAUGAACCCUCUCCAAGCCUUCUGCUUUGGACACUAUGCGAUUUGGCCCAUUUGGUCGAUUCCUCUUAUUAUCUAUUCCUUCUUGCCUCAGCUCGCUCUAAUCAAUUCUUCACAUGCUAUUUUCCCAAAGGUAAGCUAAAAACUGCACUACUACAGGGUCGAUCAAGUUCAAAUUUUGUAACGUGAAGAGUUGGUACACAGUAUAAAUAGGUAUUCAUAGUAGUUUAAUUAUUUUUGCUCUAAUUAUGAUGUCAGGUGACAGAUCCUUGGCUGUUUUUCUUGUAUGUGUUUCUUUUCCUUGGUUCAUAUGUGCAACAUCUUCUCGAAUAUGUUACAUUUGGAUCUCCAGCCAAAAGGUGGUGGAACAGUCAGAGAGUGUGGAUGAUGAGAGCACUUUCAAGCUUUCCAUUUGCAUUGAUUGAAUAUAUACUAGAAUGCUGGGGAGUAUCAUCGUUUGGGUUCAAUGUGACUAGCAAGGUACUUGAUAGUGAACAAAGCAAACGUAACGCAGAAUGUAUGUUUGAAUUCGGAGUGCCUUCUCCACUUUUUGUUCCAAUAAAUAUGGCGGCAAUGAUCAACUUGUGGGCGUUUUUACAUGGGAUAAAACAAGUGAUUAAGAGGAAUGAAAGCUUUGAAGAUAUAUUUGUGCAGAUGUUUUUAGCUGGCUUUGGAGUGCUUAAUUGCUGGCCCAUCUAUGAAGCCAUGUUAUUGAGAAGGGAUAAAGGAAGGAUGCCAUUAAAGAUAACUUUAUUAUCAACCUUCCUAGCAUGGCUUGUUUAUCUGAUAUCCUCUUCAGCCUUUUGAAAACUAGUAUUGUUUUGUAUCUUGAUUCUAGGACAAUGCUCUCCGGGUGGAGAUAGUAUCGUUUUGUGCAAUUCUUGUAUUGUAUCUUCAAGAUCAUACUACAAUACUUGAGUAUCGUCUCUUUUAUAUAUACAUUUUAAAUAAAUUAGGGUCAUUAUAUUUUUUUUCUUAUGUUCUGUUGGAUGUUAUGGAUAAAUAGAUGUUCAUAUUUGAUUUGAUUGAAUUUUGAAACGUACCAUAGGAGCGUUUCAAUUCAACCUUUCUCAAAGCAAUCUAUUUGUAUUCAUAUAAGCAGCGAGCAUGCUAUUAACUAUGUCAGCUGCGUUCAGUUUCAGACUCCAAUUACUAUCAAGUCACCGGGCAGAAAGACGUGGCCAUUCCUUUUAGCAGUGUUUACACCAUUUUAGAGUUUUGGUGUUGGGUUGGAGAUGAUAUCAUGCAUCUCUGCCUCUUUUAACACCUCUUCGACUGAUUUCCUUCUCAGACCCCCUCAUUUGCUUCUCUGGACUCUUUAAUUCAGUCUUUAAGAUUGCAAGGCAGUCUUCUACAGAGUCAGAAGUGCAAACCUUCAUAGAGAAGCUACAAACAAAGAACUAAUUCCAGUAACAGGUGUUCAAUAACUUGUGAAUUAAAUCUUAGAGAGUAAAGAAUGAACUCUCAAAAUGCAUCACAAGAAGUAGAAGCACUUUAAAAAAGCUGAGAAUGCUAACUUGUCUCUCACAACUUCUGAUUCUUUUCCAAACACUUUAUUAACUUAUUUAUUUCUAACGUCUACUCCACUUCUUUAAUUUAAUCAAGAAGUGACUUCUUUUAAGUUAACCCAAACGGCCCAAUAAUCUCUUAGAACGUCUCUCCAAGAAAUCUUGGUUAAAAUUCACUAAUACAUACCAUAAAUAAAAAUAGAGGCUAUGUACAAAACAAUUCAACUCCAAUGAGACCUUCCCCUUAUAUAUAAUUAUAGCCAACCUUUAUUGAUGUAGCAAGAUUUUACAUCAUUUAUUACUAUAUUAAAACAUUAUAUUAUAUUUACACAACUUGAAAUAAUAAUUAUACACUUUUUUAAAAUAUAGCCGAUCAAAAUAGUUAGUACCAUUAAAACACAAUAUUUUACAGGUUCCACAAAUUUUAUAUAAUAUCUUGCGAUCAAAUUUAACUAAUCAGUUACAGACUUAUAGUCAAUACUAUUAUACUAUUGUAGAUGCUAUUUAAUUAAUUAGUUAUAAUCAAUAGUAUUCUAGAUGCUAAAGUCCUGUUUACCAAGUAUUUUUUAACCAACACAAUUGCAGAUCCUCUUAUAAUUACAGUCUAUGAUUUGUUGGAAUUAGGAAUCGACGAUCACUUCAAGAUUUGGAAAUGUUAUACCCGCUCCAAUCUCCAAACGGAUACAAGCCGUCCCGAAUGAGGACUAGAGAUCUCUGCGGAGAUUCGAGAAAUUUGUCUUUUCUAAAAAAAAUUAUAUUAUAAUAUAUGAUCUUUGAUUAAAAUUAUUUUAGUAAGUUGUCAUAAUAUACAAUGUUUUUAGUUAUAUUUUGAGUACCAAUUCGAAUAAUACUCAUUUAUAAUAAAAAUAAAAGAGUAGAUUUAAUAUAAUUUGUUUGUAUUAUAAUAUGAAAUGAUUUAAUCAAUGUGAUGAAAGAGAUUAUUUAAAUUUUCAUAUAUAUAUAUAUAUAUAUAUAUAUAUAUAUAUAUUUAUCAUUAAUAUUUUGUAUAAUAUAAUAUACAUAAAUAUAUUCAUAUUAUAUAUGAAAAUCGGGAAAUUUCAAGACGGUUCGCGACCAGAAAAUAUUAAUUUUUGAAUCCGUCCCGAUCUCCGAAUUCUGGUAUAUAAUUUUUUUCCAAUCUCUAUCCCGUACUCGAGAGAAUCUCUUAUUUAUGAUUUCGUGCCGAACGGCCCGAACCUGAUAAACGAAAAAAUAGGUGGUCUUUUCUGGAAUCGAGCGGGACAGACUGGAUCGGGUCGGUCAGAUGGGACAGGGACACGUCCUCAGUUGACAUCAGGCUUAAAACUAGGGGUGUAAACAAACCAAACUGUUGGUGAGCUACUCGAGCUCGGCUCGUAAAAUAUUCGGAUUUGAUUCGGUAGUAAUCAAGCCGAGCUCGAGAUCGAGCUAUUUGGAUGUUUUACCGAGCUGAGCUCGAGCUUCAAAUUACUCGGCUCCUAAGGUUCGCGAGCCUUAUCGAGCCUCUACUAUUAUUUAAUCUUUUUUAUUAUAAAUAUAUUUUUACAAAUAUAUUUAAUAUUUUAUUUAUAAAUCAUAUAUUUAAUCGAAUCGAACUCGAGCCAAACCGAUCAUAUUUCGAGUUUUUGUCAAUAUUUAGUGUCUCGAUUCGAGAUUCCGAGCUGAACUCGAGCCUAUCAAACUGUUUACGAGCCGAGUUUCGAACUUGAAAUUAAAGCCUCGGUCGAACUCGAACUCGAGCUCGAGCCCCGAACUUUUCAAUUGAGUUCGAGCCGAGCCUGACAGUGUUCUACUUGUCUCGGCUUGAUUACACCCCUACUCAGAACUCAGAAGAAAGCCAGUAUAAUAUGAUCGCCCACCACGUUUUUUUUCCCUGUCAUCAAUUGCUAGAGCUCAGUGCACCUGAAGCUCAACCAUAUAUGACCAUAUCAUAUUAAUGACUGUUGCAAUCAACCAUUUGUGAUCUUUGUCUGUACAGGGACAGCACUUGGAAAUAAUAAAUCCUCUUUUUCUUUUCUUUGUUUUCCUUCUUUUCCAAAUCAUAUAAAUCGUUUUUAUUAUCACUAACACAAUCAAAACAGACUGCUGCAAUAUCACAAUGUAAUAGUUGAACACCAGUAGCAAUAGCAACUACAAUUGUGUUAAAUUGAAGUAGGCCGAGGUCCUUACAUUCCCUAUAGGCAGACUAUUUCCGCCAACAUAAAAAGUCAAACUUAAUCAGAGAGAUCCAGAAUUCAAAUUUUAUUUUGUCGUAUCAGUAACAACUAGGGAGGUGUUUGGUUCAUGGUUAAUGAGCCCGGUUAACGGGAAUCGGAACCUUAAUCCCAUAACAAGUGUUUGGAUUAGUUAUUUGAUGCUAUGGAAUGAGAACCUCAAUCUUUUAAGGUGGUUAAAUCAUACCCUUCCCACCCCUUGGGGUUACCAUACCAUUCCCAUUCCCGAUUCCUAUUCCCAACCUCAAUCCAAACGCCCUAAGAACUUGAUAUCGACAAUUAUGUUCACCUAAAUCAGUUAUAUCUAAACUCCGCGCCUCAGCCUCAUGUCGAGUGGGCCUAUUGGAUCCCUUGCUAACGUAGUACCACCUUCUAGCUAUUUACUUCAUUUGGUCCUGCAAAUCCAAAUAUAGUUGAAAGCAAUAAAUUGGAUAUGAACAAUUUCUCAGUACUGGAGAUCAGAUUAUAGGUUUUGCUCUUGCGUACCAUUGUACAUAACUAAUAAGCUUGAUUAAACUGUGGUGAAUUGAAUUGAGAUUUUAAAAGAUAUUUUUUUUUUCAUUUGUGAAAUCUUGGAUAUUCAACUUUGAUUUUAAAAAAUUGUAACAGAAUCUUGAGGUAUUCAAUUAAGAUUUUAAAAUAUACUAUAAAAUCUGGUGAUAUUCAAUAAAGAUUUUAAAUUAUGCUUAAAAAUCCAAUAGUAUUCGAUUGUGAUUAUUUAAACUUCAUUAAAAUCUGAUGAAUAUUAAAUGAUUUUUUUGGAUUUCAUCGAAUGAUGGAUUUUGUGAGAUUGUUCAGUGUAUUUUAAUUAUUUGAUAUCCCACCAAAAUCCACGAGAUAUUAAAGCAUUGUGCUUAAAUCUUAAAGAUUCGACAACAUUUUAUCAAAAAUCCGCAUCAGAUACAACCCACAAAAAUUCAUAGACUAUAUAAAUUCAUUAAAAUACCAGUUGAACACGACCUCUAAUCCUUGUUUAGAACCAUUACUAGCUGCAAGUCUGCAGCUCAAAGCGAGCCACUAAACUCAGAUGAGCAAACAAGGCAUUUCCAUGGAGAAGGUGCGGUCCAGUGCUGGGCUUCUGCAUACGAAGUCACCCUUGCGUCGCACUUGGUUCAACCGUGUGUUUGCAGUCACAUACCUCAUACCGAUAUGUGCACUGAUGUAUCAUCACUGCCAUAACAUUAUUACUAGUACUGAUCAACUUACCAAGAGAAACACUAUAAUUUUUUUGGUAGCUGAUUCCAUUCUGGCCUUUAUGUGGAUAACUCGGCAGGCAUUUCGCAUCUCGCCCAUCCGUCGCCAGGUAUUUCCCGAGAACCUGACAGAGGAUGAGAGAGAAUAUCCAGCUCUGGACGUGUUUGUAUGCACUGCUGAUCCGUACAAGGAGCCACCAAUAGGCGUGGUGAACACCGUGUUGUCCCUGAUGGCUUAUGAUUAUCCGAGGGAGAAAUUGUCUGUCUAUGUAUCGGAUGAUGGAGGAUCACAGCUCACACUGUUUGCUCUGAUGGAAGCUGCUGAGUUUGCUAAACAUUGGCUCCCGUACUGCAAGAAACACGACAUACUUGACAGGUCACCCGAGGCCUAUUUUACAUUACAGACUAAUUUUGGUUUCCCAGAGACCGGUGCUGCUGCAAAAUAUGAUCAAAUUAAGGUACUUCUAAGCCAACCAUCUAAACUUUUUUUUUUUUGGAAAUUUAUCAAUGCUGACUCAUGGAUUGUUGAAGGUUAUGUACGAAAGGAUGAAAUUGAGGAUAAAUGANAUGAACCCUCUCCAAGCCUUCUGCUUUGGACACUAUGCGAUUUGGCCCAUUUGGUCGAUUCCUCUUAUUAUCUAUUCCUUCUUGCCUCAGCUCGCUCUAAUCAAUUCUUCACAUGCUAUUUUCCCAAAGGUAAGCUAAAAACUGCACUACUACAGGGUCGAUCAAGUUCAAAUUUUGUAACGUGAAGAGUUGGUACACAGUAUAAAUAGGUAUUCAUAGUAGUUUAAUUAUUUUUGCUCUAAUUAUGAUGUCAGGUGACAGAUCCUUGGCUGUUUUUCUUGUAUGUGUUUCUUUUCCUUGGUUCAUAUGUGCAACAUCUUCUCGAAUAUGUUACAUUUGGAUCUCCAGCCAAAAGGUGGUGGAACAGUCAGAGAGUGUGGAUGAUGAGAGCACUUUCAAGCUUUCCAUUUGCAUUGAUUGAAUAUAUACUAGAAUGCUGGGGAGUAUCAUCGUUUGGGUUCAAUGUGACUAGCAAGGUACUUGAUAGUGAACAAAGCAAACGUAACGCAGAAUGUAUGUUUGAAUUCGGAGUGCCUUCUCCACUUUUUGUUCCAAUAAAUAUGGCGGCAAUGAUCAACUUGUGGGCGUUUUUACAUGGGAUAAAACAAGUGAUUAAGAGGAAUGAAAGCUUUGAAGAUAUAUUUGUGCAGAUGUUUUUAGCUGGCUUUGGAGUGCUUAAUUGCUGGCCCAUCUAUGAAGCCAUGUUAUUGAGAAGGGAUAAAGGAAGGAUGCCAUUAAAGAUAACUUUAUUAUCAACCUUCCUAGCAUGGCUUGUUUAUCUGAUAUCCUCUUCAGCCUUUUGAAAACUAGUAUUGUUUUGUAUCUUGAUUCUAGGACAAUGCUCUCCGGGUGGAGAUAGUAUCGUUUUGUGCAAUUCUUGUAUUGUAUCUUCAAGAUCAUACUACAAUACUUGAGUAUCGUCUCUUUUAUAUAUACAUUUUAAAUAAAUUAGGGUCAUUAUAUUUUUUUUCUUAUGUUCUGUUGGAUGUUAUGGAUAAAUAGAUGUUCAUAUUUGAUUUGAUUGAAUUUUGAAACGUACCAUAGGAGCGUUUCAAUUCAACCUUUCUCAAAGCAAUCUAUUUGUAUUCAUAUAAGCAGCGAGCAUGCUAUUAACUAUGUCAGCUGCGUUCAGUUUCAGACUCCAAUUACUAUCAAGUCACCGGGCAGAAAGACGUGGCCAUUCCUUUUAGCAGUGUUUACACCAUUUUAGAGUUUUGGUGUUGGGUUGGAGAUGAUAUCAUGCAUCUCUGCCUCUUUUAACACCUCUUCGACUGAUUUCCUUCUCAGACCCCCUCAUUUGCUUCUCUGGACUCUUUAAUUCAGUCUUUAAGAUUGCAAGGCAGUCUUCUACAGAGUCAGAAGUGCAAACCUUCAUAGAGAAGCUACAAACAAAGAACUAAUUCCAGUAACAGGUGUUCAAUAACUUGUGAAUUAAAUCUUAGAGAGUAAAGAAUGAACUCUCAAAAUGCAUCACAAGAAGUAGAAGCACUUUAAAAAAGCUGAGAAUGCUAACUUGUCUCUCACAACUUCUGAUUCUUUUCCAAACACUUUAUUAACUUAUUUAUUUCUAACGUCUACUCCACUUCUUUAAUUUAAUCAAGAAGUGACUUCUUUUAAGUUAACCCAAACGGCCCAAUAAUCUCUUAGAACGUCUCUCCAAGAAAUCUUGGUUAAAAUUCACUAAUACAUACCAUAAAUAAAAAUAGAGGCUAUGUACAAAACAAUUCAACUCCAAUGAGACCUUCCCCUUAUAUAUAAUUAUAGCCAACCUUUAUUGAUGUAGCAAGAUUUUACAUCAUUUAUUACUAUAUUAAAACAUUAUAUUAUAUUUACACAACUUGAAAUAAUAAUUAUACACUUUUUUAAAAUAUAGCCGAUCAAAAUAGUUAGUACCAUUAAAACACAAUAUUUUACAGGUUCCACAAAUUUUAUAUAAUAUCUUGCGAUCAAAUUUAACUAAUCAGUUACAGACUUAUAGUCAAUACUAUUAUACUAUUGUAGAUGCUAUUUAAUUAAUUAGUUAUAAUCAAUAGUAUUCUAGAUGCUAAAGUCCUGUUUACCAAGUAUUUUUUAACCAACACAAUUGCAGAUCCUCUUAUAAUUACAGUCUAUGAUUUGUUGGAAUUAGGAAUCGACGAUCACUUCAAGAUUUGGAAAUGUUAUACCCGCUCCAAUCUCCAAACGGAUACAAGCCGUCCCGAAUGAGGACUAGAGAUCUCUGCGGAGAUUCGAGAAAUUUGUCUUUUCUAAAAAAAAUUAUAUUAUAAUAUAUGAUCUUUGAUUAAAAUUAUUUUAGUAAGUUGUCAUAAUAUACAAUGUUUUUAGUUAUAUUUUGAGUACCAAUUCGAAUAAUACUCAUUUAUAAUAAAAAUAAAAGAGUAGAUUUAAUAUAAUUUGUUUGUAUUAUAAUAUGAAAUGAUUUAAUCAAUGUGAUGAAAGAGAUUAUUUAAAUUUUCAUAUAUAUAUAUAUAUAUAUAUAUAUAUAUAUAUAUUUAUCAUUAAUAUUUUGUAUAAUAUAAUAUACAUAAAUAUAUUCAUAUUAUAUAUGAAAAUCGGGAAAUUUCAAGACGGUUCGCGACCAGAAAAUAUUAAUUUUUGAAUCCGUCCCGAUCUCCGAAUUCUGGUAUAUAAUUUUUUUCCAAUCUCUAUCCCGUACUCGAGAGAAUCUCUUAUUUAUGAUUUCGUGCCGAACGGCCCGAACCUGAUAAACGAAAAAAUAGGUGGUCUUUUCUGGAAUCGAGCGGGACAGACUGGAUCGGGUCGGUCAGAUGGGACAGGGACACGUCCUCAGUUGACAUCAGGCUUAAAACUAGGGGUGUAAACAAACCAAACUGUUGGUGAGCUACUCGAGCUCGGCUCGUAAAAUAUUCGGAUUUGAUUCGGUAGUAAUCAAGCCGAGCUCGAGAUCGAGCUAUUUGGAUGUUUUACCGAGCUGAGCUCGAGCUUCAAAUUACUCGGCUCCUAAGGUUCGCGAGCCUUAUCGAGCCUCUACUAUUAUUUAAUCUUUUUUAUUAUAAAUAUAUUUUUACAAAUAUAUUUAAUAUUUUAUUUAUAAAUCAUAUAUUUAAUCGAAUCGAACUCGAGCCAAACCGAUCAUAUUUCGAGUUUUUGUCAAUAUUUAGUGUCUCGAUUCGAGAUUCCGAGCUGAACUCGAGCCUAUCAAACUGUUUACGAGCCGAGUUUCGAACUUGAAAUUAAAGCCUCGGUCGAACUCGAACUCGAGCUCGAGCCCCGAACUUUUCAAUUGAGUUCGAGCCGAGCCUGACAGUGUUCUACUUGUCUCGGCUUGAUUACACCCCUACUCAGAACUCAGAAGAAAGCCAGUAUAAUAUGAUCGCCCACCACGUUUUUUUUCCCUGUCAUCAAUUGCUAGAGCUCAGUGCACCUGAAGCUCAACCAUAUAUGACCAUAUCAUAUUAAUGACUGUUGCAAUCAACCAUUUGUGAUCUUUGUCUGUACAGGGACAGCACUUGGAAAUAAUAAAUCCUCUUUUUCUUUUCUUUGUUUUCCUUCUUUUCCAAAUCAUAUAAAUCGUUUUUAUUAUCACUAACACAAUCAAAACAGACUGCUGCAAUAUCACAAUGUAAUAGUUGAACACCAGUAGCAAUAGCAACUACAAUUGUGUUAAAUUGAAGUAGGCCGAGGUCCUUACAUUCCCUAUAGGCAGACUAUUUCCGCCAACAUAAAAAGUCAAACUUAAUCAGAGAGAUCCAGAAUUCAAAUUUUAUUUUGUCGUAUCAGUAACAACUAGGGAGGUGUUUGGUUCAUGGUUAAUGAGCCCGGUUAACGGGAAUCGGAACCUUAAUCCCAUAACAAGUGUUUGGAUUAGUUAUUUGAUGCUAUGGAAUGAGAACCUCAAUCUUUUAAGGUGGUUAAAUCAUACCCUUCCCACCCCUUGGGGUUACCAUACCAUUCCCAUUCCCGAUUCCUAUUCCCAACCUCAAUCCAAACGCCCUAAGAACUUGAUAUCGACAAUUAUGUUCACCUAAAUCAGUUAUAUCUAAACUCCGCGCCUCAGCCUCAUGUCGAGUGGGCCUAUUGGAUCCCUUGCUAACGUAGUACCACCUUCUAGCUAUUUACUUCAUUUGGUCCUGCAAAUCCAAAUAUAGUUGAAAGCAAUAAAUUGGAUAUGAACAAUUUCUCAGUACUGGAGAUCAGAUUAUAGGUUUUGCUCUUGCGUACCAUUGUACAUAACUAAUAAGCUUGAUUAAACUGUGGUGAAUUGAAUUGAGAUUUUAAAAGAUAUUUUUUUUUUCAUUUGUGAAAUCUUGGAUAUUCAACUUUGAUUUUAAAAAAUUGUAACAGAAUCUUGAGGUAUUCAAUUAAGAUUUUAAAAUAUACUAUAAAAUCUGGUGAUAUUCAAUAAAGAUUUUAAAUUAUGCUUAAAAAUCCAAUAGUAUUCGAUUGUGAUUAUUUAAACUUCAUUAAAAUCUGAUGAAUAUUAAAUGAUUUUUUUGGAUUUCAUCGAAUGAUGGAUUUUGUGAGAUUGUUCAGUGUAUUUUAAUUAUUUGAUAUCCCACCAAAAUCCACGAGAUAUUAAAGCAUUGUGCUUAAAUCUUAAAGAUUCGACAACAUUUUAUCAAAAAUCCGCAUCAGAUACAACCCACAAAAAUUCAUAGACUAUAUAAAUUCAUUAAAAUACCAGUUGAACACGACCUCUAAUCCUUGUUUAGAACCAUUACUAGCUGCAAGUCUGCAGCUCAAAGCGAGCCACUAAACUCAGAUGAGCAAACAAGGCAUUUCCAUGGAGAAGGUGCGGUCCAGUGCUGGGCUUCUGCAUACGAAGUCACCCUUGCGUCGCACUUGGUUCAACCGUGUGUUUGCAGUCACAUACCUCAUACCGAUAUGUGCACUGAUGUAUCAUCACUGCCAUAACAUUAUUACUAGUACUGAUCAACUUACCAAGAGAAACACUAUAAUUUUUUUGGUAGCUGAUUCCAUUCUGGCCUUUAUGUGGAUAACUCGGCAGGCAUUUCGCAUCUCGCCCAUCCGUCGCCAGGUAUUUCCCGAGAACCUGACAGAGGAUGAGAGAGAAUAUCCAGCUCUGGACGUGUUUGUAUGCACUGCUGAUCCGUACAAGGAGCCACCAAUAGGCGUGGUGAACACCGUGUUGUCCCUGAUGGCUUAUGAUUAUCCGAGGGAGAAAUUGUCUGUCUAUGUAUCGGAUGAUGGAGGAUCACAGCUCACACUGUUUGCUCUGAUGGAAGCUGCUGAGUUUGCUAAACAUUGGCUCCCGUACUGCAAGAAACACGACAUACUUGACAGGUCACCCGAGGCCUAUUUUACAUUACAGACUAAUUUUGGUUUCCCAGAGACCGGUGCUGCUGCAAAAUAUGAUCAAAUUAAGGUACUUCUAAGCCAACCAUCUAAACUUUUUUUUUUUUGGAAAUUUAUCAAUGCUGACUCAUGGAUUGUUGAAGGUUAUGUACGAAAGGAUGAAAUUGAGGAUAAAUGAAGUUGUCGACAGAGGGAGCAUCCAUGGAUAUGUGACAGAUGAAGAAGUGCUCAGAACUUUUGCCAUAUGGCAUAAUACACCUGGUUUCACUCCAAAAAAUCAUCCUACUGUUAUUCAGGUUCAUUUUUUCAGAUAAUCUGUUUCCUAAUAAAUAAGUUGAAUUUUAAGUUUGUACAGAAUCAUCUAAUAACUGAGCUAGACUUUUUCAAUUAAAGAAAGGAAAAAAGAAUACAAAUGCAAUACUUCACGUGAGAAAGAUAUUUCUGAAGCCAAAACUAGAUUUAGAUUUAUAACAUCCCAAGCUCAUAACUGAAUGCAUACCGGACCCAACAAUCCACCACAUGUCGGCCCAAAAGUGCUAGCAAAUUGGUAUACUAGUUAUUUGCUUGUGGUCCAAAUACAUUUUAACUAAUCUAUGUGAUGUUACAAACACCCCCUCUUAUCUUGUCGAGGACACCACCAUACAUUUUAACUAAUCGAUGUGUGAAGUUACAAACACCCCCCCUUAUCUUGUCGAGGACACCACCAUACAUUUUAACUCAUCGAUGUGUGAUGUUACAAACACCCCCCCUUAUCUUGUCGAGGACACCACCAUACAUUUNCAUGUUAUUGAGAAGGGAUAAAGGAAGGAUGCCAUUAAAGAUAACUUUAUUAUCAACCUUCCUAGCAUGGCUUGUUUAUCUGAUAUCCUCUUCAGCCUUUUGAAAACUAGUAUUGUUUUGUAUCUUGAUUCUAGGACAAUGCUCUCCGGGUGGAGAUAGUAUCGUUUUGUGCAAUUCUUGUAUUGUAUCUUCAAGAUCAUACUACAAUACUUGAGUAUCGUCUCUUUUAUAUAUACAUUUUAAAUAAAUUAGGGUCAUUAUAUUUUUUUUCUUAUGUUCUGUUGGAUGUUAUGGAUAAAUAGAUGUUCAUAUUUGAUUUGAUUGAAUUUUGAAACGUACCAUAGGAGCGUUUCAAUUCAACCUUUCUCAAAGCAAUCUAUUUGUAUUCAUAUAAGCAGCGAGCAUGCUAUUAACUAUGUCAGCUGCGUUCAGUUUCAGACUCCAAUUACUAUCAAGUCACCGGGCAGAAAGACGUGGCCAUUCCUUUUAGCAGUGUUUACACCAUUUUAGAGUUUUGGUGUUGGGUUGGAGAUGAUAUCAUGCAUCUCUGCCUCUUUUAACACCUCUUCGACUGAUUUCCUUCUCAGACCCCCUCAUUUGCUUCUCUGGACUCUUUAAUUCAGUCUUUAAGAUUGCAAGGCAGUCUUCUACAGAGUCAGAAGUGCAAACCUUCAUAGAGAAGCUACAAACAAAGAACUAAUUCCAGUAACAGGUGUUCAAUAACUUGUGAAUUAAAUCUUAGAGAGUAAAGAAUGAACUCUCAAAAUGCAUCACAAGAAGUAGAAGCACUUUAAAAAAGCUGAGAAUGCUAACUUGUCUCUCACAACUUCUGAUUCUUUUCCAAACACUUUAUUAACUUAUUUAUUUCUAACGUCUACUCCACUUCUUUAAUUUAAUCAAGAAGUGACUUCUUUUAAGUUAACCCAAACGGCCCAAUAAUCUCUUAGAACGUCUCUCCAAGAAAUCUUGGUUAAAAUUCACUAAUACAUACCAUAAAUAAAAAUAGAGGCUAUGUACAAAACAAUUCAACUCCAAUGAGACCUUCCCCUUAUAUAUAAUUAUAGCCAACCUUUAUUGAUGUAGCAAGAUUUUACAUCAUUUAUUACUAUAUUAAAACAUUAUAUUAUAUUUACACAACUUGAAAUAAUAAUUAUACACUUUUUUAAAAUAUAGCCGAUCAAAAUAGUUAGUACCAUUAAAACACAAUAUUUUACAGGUUCCACAAAUUUUAUAUAAUAUCUUGCGAUCAAAUUUAACUAAUCAGUUACAGACUUAUAGUCAAUACUAUUAUACUAUUGUAGAUGCUAUUUAAUUAAUUAGUUAUAAUCAAUAGUAUUCUAGAUGCUAAAGUCCUGUUUACCAAGUAUUUUUUAACCAACACAAUUGCAGAUCCUCUUAUAAUUACAGUCUAUGAUUUGUUGGAAUUAGGAAUCGACGAUCACUUCAAGAUUUGGAAAUGUUAUACCCGCUCCAAUCUCCAAACGGAUACAAGCCGUCCCGAAUGAGGACUAGAGAUCUCUGCGGAGAUUCGAGAAAUUUGUCUUUUCUAAAAAAAAUUAUAUUAUAAUAUAUGAUCUUUGAUUAAAAUUAUUUUAGUAAGUUGUCAUAAUAUACAAUGUUUUUAGUUAUAUUUUGAGUACCAAUUCGAAUAAUACUCAUUUAUAAUAAAAAUAAAAGAGUAGAUUUAAUAUAAUUUGUUUGUAUUAUAAUAUGAAAUGAUUUAAUCAAUGUGAUGAAAGAGAUUAUUUAAAUUUUCAUAUAUAUAUAUAUAUAUAUAUAUAUAUAUAUAUAUUUAUCAUUAAUAUUUUGUAUAAUAUAAUAUACAUAAAUAUAUUCAUAUUAUAUAUGAAAAUCGGGAAAUUUCAAGACGGUUCGCGACCAGAAAAUAUUAAUUUUUGAAUCCGUCCCGAUCUCCGAAUUCUGGUAUAUAAUUUUUUUCCAAUCUCUAUCCCGUACUCGAGAGAAUCUCUUAUUUAUGAUUUCGUGCCGAACGGCCCGAACCUGAUAAACGAAAAAAUAGGUGGUCUUUUCUGGAAUCGAGCGGGACAGACUGGAUCGGGUCGGUCAGAUGGGACAGGGACACGUCCUCAGUUGACAUCAGGCUUAAAACUAGGGGUGUAAACAAACCAAACUGUUGGUGAGCUACUCGAGCUCGGCUCGUAAAAUAUUCGGAUUUGAUUCGGUAGUAAUCAAGCCGAGCUCGAGAUCGAGCUAUUUGGAUGUUUUACCGAGCUGAGCUCGAGCUUCAAAUUACUCGGCUCCUAAGGUUCGCGAGCCUUAUCGAGCCUCUACUAUUAUUUAAUCUUUUUUAUUAUAAAUAUAUUUUUACAAAUAUAUUUAAUAUUUUAUUUAUAAAUCAUAUAUUUAAUCGAAUCGAACUCGAGCCAAACCGAUCAUAUUUCGAGUUUUUGUCAAUAUUUAGUGUCUCGAUUCGAGAUUCCGAGCUGAACUCGAGCCUAUCAAACUGUUUACGAGCCGAGUUUCGAACUUGAAAUUAAAGCCUCGGUCGAACUCGAACUCGAGCUCGAGCCCCGAACUUUUCAAUUGAGUUCGAGCCGAGCCUGACAGUGUUCUACUUGUCUCGGCUUGAUUACACCCCUACUCAGAACUCAGAAGAAAGCCAGUAUAAUAUGAUCGCCCACCACGUUUUUUUUCCCUGUCAUCAAUUGCUAGAGCUCAGUGCACCUGAAGCUCAACCAUAUAUGACCAUAUCAUAUUAAUGACUGUUGCAAUCAACCAUUUGUGAUCUUUGUCUGUACAGGGACAGCACUUGGAAAUAAUAAAUCCUCUUUUUCUUUUCUUUGUUUUCCUUCUUUUCCAAAUCAUAUAAAUCGUUUUUAUUAUCACUAACACAAUCAAAACAGACUGCUGCAAUAUCACAAUGUAAUAGUUGAACACCAGUAGCAAUAGCAACUACAAUUGUGUUAAAUUGAAGUAGGCCGAGGUCCUUACAUUCCCUAUAGGCAGACUAUUUCCGCCAACAUAAAAAGUCAAACUUAAUCAGAGAGAUCCAGAAUUCAAAUUUUAUUUUGUCGUAUCAGUAACAACUAGGGAGGUGUUUGGUUCAUGGUUAAUGAGCCCGGUUAACGGGAAUCGGAACCUUAAUCCCAUAACAAGUGUUUGGAUUAGUUAUUUGAUGCUAUGGAAUGAGAACCUCAAUCUUUUAAGGUGGUUAAAUCAUACCCUUCCCACCCCUUGGGGUUACCAUACCAUUCCCAUUCCCGAUUCCUAUUCCCAACCUCAAUCCAAACGCCCUAAGAACUUGAUAUCGACAAUUAUGUUCACCUAAAUCAGUUAUAUCUAAACUCCGCGCCUCAGCCUCAUGUCGAGUGGGCCUAUUGGAUCCCUUGCUAACGUAGUACCACCUUCUAGCUAUUUACUUCAUUUGGUCCUGCAAAUCCAAAUAUAGUUGAAAGCAAUAAAUUGGAUAUGAACAAUUUCUCAGUACUGGAGAUCAGAUUAUAGGUUUUGCUCUUGCGUACCAUUGUACAUAACUAAUAAGCUUGAUUAAACUGUGGUGAAUUGAAUUGAGAUUUUAAAAGAUAUUUUUUUUUUCAUUUGUGAAAUCUUGGAUAUUCAACUUUGAUUUUAAAAAAUUGUAACAGAAUCUUGAGGUAUUCAAUUAAGAUUUUAAAAUAUACUAUAAAAUCUGGUGAUAUUCAAUAAAGAUUUUAAAUUAUGCUUAAAAAUCCAAUAGUAUUCGAUUGUGAUUAUUUAAACUUCAUUAAAAUCUGAUGAAUAUUAAAUGAUUUUUUUGGAUUUCAUCGAAUGAUGGAUUUUGUGAGAUUGUUCAGUGUAUUUUAAUUAUUUGAUAUCCCACCAAAAUCCACGAGAUAUUAAAGCAUUGUGCUUAAAUCUUAAAGAUUCGACAACAUUUUAUCAAAAAUCCGCAUCAGAUACAACCCACAAAAAUUCAUAGACUAUAUAAAUUCAUUAAAAUACCAGUUGAACACGACCUCUAAUCCUUGUUUAGAACCAUUACUAGCUGCAAGUCUGCAGCUCAAAGCGAGCCACUAAACUCAGAUGAGCAAACAAGGCAUUUCCAUGGAGAAGGUGCGGUCCAGUGCUGGGCUUCUGCAUACGAAGUCACCCUUGCGUCGCACUUGGUUCAACCGUGUGUUUGCAGUCACAUACCUCAUACCGAUAUGUGCACUGAUGUAUCAUCACUGCCAUAACAUUAUUACUAGUACUGAUCAACUUACCAAGAGAAACACUAUAAUUUUUUUGGUAGCUGAUUCCAUUCUGGCCUUUAUGUGGAUAACUCGGCAGGCAUUUCGCAUCUCGCCCAUCCGUCGCCAGGUAUUUCCCGAGAACCUGACAGAGGAUGAGAGAGAAUAUCCAGCUCUGGACGUGUUUGUAUGCACUGCUGAUCCGUACAAGGAGCCACCAAUAGGCGUGGUGAACACCGUGUUGUCCCUGAUGGCUUAUGAUUAUCCGAGGGAGAAAUUGUCUGUCUAUGUAUCGGAUGAUGGAGGAUCACAGCUCACACUGUUUGCUCUGAUGGAAGCUGCUGAGUUUGCUAAACAUUGGCUCCCGUACUGCAAGAAACACGACAUACUUGACAGGUCACCCGAGGCCUAUUUUACAUUACAGACUAAUUUUGGUUUCCCAGAGACCGGUGCUGCUGCAAAAUAUGAUCAAAUUAAGGUACUUCUAAGCCAACCAUCUAAACUUUUUUUUUUUUGGAAAUUUAUCAAUGCUGACUCAUGGAUUGUUGAAGGUUAUGUACGAAAGGAUGAAAUUGAGGAUAAAUGAAGUUGUCGACAGAGGGAGCAUCCAUGGAUAUGUGACAGAUGAAGAAGUGCUCAGAACUUUUGCCAUAUGGCAUAAUACACCUGGUUUCACUCCAAAAAAUCAUCCUACUGUUAUUCAGGUUCAUUUUUUCAGAUAAUCUGUUUCCUAAUAAAUAAGUUGAAUUUUAAGUUUGUACAGAAUCAUCUAAUAACUGAGCUAGACUUUUUCAAUUAAAGAAAGGAAAAAAGAAUACAAAUGCAAUACUUCACGUGAGAAAGAUAUUUCUGAAGCCAAAACUAGAUUUAGAUUUAUAACAUCCCAAGCUCAUAACUGAAUGCAUACCGGACCCAACAAUCCACCACAUGUCGGCCCAAAAGUGCUAGCAAAUUGGUAUACUAGUUAUUUGCUUGUGGUCCAAAUACAUUUUAACUAAUCUAUGUGAUGUUACAAACACCCCCUCUUAUCUUGUCGAGGACACCACCAUACAUUUUAACUAAUCGAUGUGUGAAGUUACAAACACCCCCCCUUAUCUUGUCGAGGACACCACCAUACAUUUUAACUCAUCGAUGUGUGAUGUUACAAACACCCCCCCUUAUCUUGUCGAGGACACCACCAUACAUUUUAACUAAUCGAUGUGUGAUGUUACAAACACCCCCUCUCAUCUUGUCGAGGACAGCACCAUAUACAUUUUAACUAAUCGAUAUCGAUGUCCCGGACAAACUGCCCCUCCGGCCGGGUAGAGCUCGGUUGGCCCAAAAAUGCUAGCAAAUUGGUAUACAUUAGUUAUUUGCUUGUGCAUAUAAAGGGCCCAAAUACUCUUUAACUAGUCGAUAUGGGAUGUUACAAGAGUAUUGUCGACGAAUGUUCACUUUUAUCUACUUCAAAUACUCGGAUUUCACUAGGCUAUAACGAAUCUAACUUUUCUGAGUAGUUUCCUGAAGGCUAUCAAAUUAUUCAACUUGAAUCUCUUAUCUUUCAUAGUUAUUGUUAUUAGUACUUACUCCGUGCUGAAUAAACCUGUAGCAAAGUUUGAUCAUUAUAGAAAACAGGAAGAGUAUAAAAUACUAGCGUAUUUAUAACUAUAGGAACUAAUAACAAAAUAGAACUAAUGAAGAGGAUCUUGCAGAUAAUCAUGGAGAGCGCCAGUGAAAAGGAUGAGUCCGGUGACAGAAUGCCUAAUCUUGUAUAUGUUUCCAGAGAAAAGAAGAAGUCUACACCCCAUAACUACAAGGCUGGUGCGCUCAACGUUCUGGUAUUAAUGUUUAUAAUUGUUGUUGAUCAAACACAUAUAUGGUAAACAGAAAGUUAAUCUUCAUUUCUUGUUAAAUUCACAUGUUAUACAUAUUUAUGCAUAUAAAGCUUCGAGUAUCAGCAACUAUGACAAAUGCACCGCUGGUGUUGACGCAAGACUGUGACAUGUUUUCAAAUGAUCCCAAGACUCCACUUCGUGCACUCUGCUACUUUAUGGACCCUGGAAUGGACCCGAACUUGGCGUUGGUCCAGUUCCCUCAAAUUUUCCAUGGGAUUAACAAGGAUGAUAUAUAUAACGCUGAACUUAGAGAAAUGCUUGUCAAUAAUAUUUUGGGAAUGGAUGGUUUAUUAGGACCACCUUAUAUGGGUUCUGGGGGGUUUUUUCGUCGACAAGCUUUGUUUGGAACUCCAGUAUCACACAUACCUCCCCAGCCUUCAGAAAUUAGUCCUCGUCAUGUUAUUAAUAAGUCAAUGCACUCUGCAGAGAUUUUGGCUCUGGCACACCAUGUUGGAGGCUGUAACUUUGAGGUUCAAACCGAGUGGGGAUCAGAGGUUAGACACUUUGGUACUUUCAUUAAUAAAAUUCACGUAUUACAUCAAACCAAAAUAAUAAAUUUUUAUCCUCUCAUUGUCGCAGAUGGGAUUUAGGUAUGGCUCUCUGGUGGAGGAUUUUAACACAGGCUACAGAAUGCAAUGCCAAGGAUGGAGAUCUGUUUUCUGCAAUCCAAUGAGACCAGCAUUCUUAGGAAGUUCACCAAUAACACUCCAUGAUGUGCUCAAUCAAAGCAAAAGGUGGUCCAUGGGUCUUCUUGAUAUCAUUUUUUCGAGAUAUAACCCUCUUUUCUUUGGUGUGCGGUUUAUGAACCCUCUCCAAGCCUUCUGCUUUGGACACUAUGCGCUUUGGCCCAUUUUGUCGAUUCCUCUUAUUAUCUACUCCUCCUUGCCUCAGCUCGCUCUUAUCGAUCCUUCACGUGCUAUUUUCCCAAAGGUAUGCUAAAAACUACAUUACUACAGGGUCGAUCAAGUUCAAAUUUUGUAACGUGAAGAGUAGGUACACAAUAUAUAUAGGUAUUCAUAGUAAUUUAAUUUUGUUUGCGCUAAUUAUGAUGUCAGGCGACGGAUCCUUGGUUGUUUUUCUUGUAUGUGUUUCUUUUCCUUGGUUCAUAUGCACAACAUCUUCUCGAAUAUGUUACCUUUGGAUCAACAGCCAAAAGGUGGUGGAACAGUCAGAGAGUGUGGAUGAUGAGAUCACUUUCAAGCUUUCCAUUUGCAUUGAUUGAAUAUAUACUAGAACGCUGGGGACUAUCAUCGUUUGGGUUCAAUGUGACUAGCAAGGUACUUGAUAGUGAACAAAGCAAACGGAACGCAGAAUGUAUCUUUGAAUUCGGAGUGCCUUCUCCACUUUUUGUUCCAAUAAAUGUGGCAGCUAUAAUCAACUUGUGGGCGUUUCUACAUGGGAUAAAACAAGUGAUUACGGGGAAUGAAAUCUUUGGAGAUGUAUUUGUGCAGAUGUUUUUAGCUGGCUUUGGAGUGCUUAAUUGCUGGCCCAUCUAUGAAGCUAUGUUACUGAGAACAGAUAAAGGGAAGAUGCCACUGAAGAUGACUUUUGUGUCAACCUUCCUCGCAUGGCUUGUUUAUCUGAUAUCCUCUUCAGCCUUUUGAAAACUUGUAUUGUUUUGUAUCUUGAUUCUGGGACAAUGGUCUCCGGGUGGAGAUAGUAUCGUUUUGUGCGAUUCUUGUAUUGUAUCUUCAAGAUCAUACUACAAUACUUGAGUAUCGUCUCUUCUAUAUUUACAUUUUAAAUAAAUUAGGGUCAUUAUAUUUUUUUUCUUAUGUUCUGUUGGAUGUUAUUAUGGAUAAAUAGAUGUUCAUAUUUGAUUUGAUUGAAUUUUGAAACGUACCAUAGGAGCGUUACAAUGCAACCUUUCUGAAAGCAAUCUACGUGUAUUCAUAGAAGCAGCGAGCAUGCUAUUAACUAUGUCAGCUGCGUUCAGUCUCGGACUCCAAUUACUAUCAAGUCACAGGGCAGAAAGACGUGGCCAUUCCUUUUAGUAGUGUUUACACCAUUUUAGAGUUUUGGUGUUGGGUUGGAGAUGAUAUCAUGCAUCUCUGCCUCUUUUAACACCUCUUCGACUGACUUCCUUUUCAGACCCCCUCAUUUGCUUCUCUGGACACUUUAAUCCAGUCUUUAAGAUUGCAAGGCAGUCUUCUACAGAGUCAGAAGUGCAAACCUUCAUAGAAAAGCUACAAACAAAGAAAUAAUUCCAGUAACAGGUGUUGAAUAACUUGUGCAUUAAAUCUUAGAGAGUAAAGAAUGAACUCAACAUGCAUCACAAGAAGUAUUUAAUUAAGAAGUUUCUGUAGUAUACUAAAAAAUACGCAAGAGAUUGUAAAUUUGGAAUAUAAGAAAUUAAAAUUCUGAAUAGCUAUGAACCUUCUUAGUUCUAAAUUAAAGCCAGGUCAAACACGCUUUUAUGUAAACUUAAGGUGAUCACCGAAAUUGAUCCAUUCAUGUUUCAGAAUCAAAAACAUCUUUAAGCAGGGGAAUGAACAUAAAAAAUGGUGUUUAAAGUAAUCAGGGGAAGAGAUGACAAGCACGUCGCUUCUGUCAACAAUAAUGUGACACUGUGAGAAAAUGGUAAGUUGAAGUCCCUUUUUGGAUGUGUUCUUGAUGGAAUUACCGAAAACUAAUUGUUGGAGGUUGUUCCUUGUUAUGAGGACUUAAACUUUCAUAUUUGGAUCUAAGUCAUUUUCUUAGUGUAACGGGUUAUGUGGGUGUUGCUAUAGAAAUCCCUCUAAAAUCCGUGUAAAGUUUGAGCACAGACAUUUUCCCGACAGGCAGGAGGUAUGCGGAUUUCCUGCAAUCACAGUUGCUGCAAUUAGACAUGUGAAUUUGUUCGUAUCGUAUAAUUUCGUGUCGUGUGCUCAAAGACCAAACACAAAACUGACCCAUUUAGAGUUUGUGUACUUUCUUGUUAUAUCAUAUCGUUCUCGUGUCUGUGUAUAAAAAUUAAAUAUAAAUAUAAAUAUAAAUAUACAUAUAUAAAUUAAUGUAAAAUUAGAUUUCUAAAUAAAAAUUUUACAAAAUUAUAUAUAUAUAUACAUUUAAUUCAUUUAUACUUACAGUAUUAUAAACAAUGCAUUGUUUUAAGAGAAAAUAUACAUAUACUUAUUAUAAAUACACAUAUUUAUGAUUAAAUUUUAAUAUUUUAUUAUAAAAUUAUAUUUAUUUGUGUACCUUGUGUCCAGUAUUCAAAGGGUAAACAUAAAACCUACACUACAUCUCACUCGUGUACUUCGUGUUCGUGUAUUUUUCUUGUCGUGUACUUCGUGUUCAUGUAUUUUUCGUGUCGUGUACUCAAAAUGAAAAUACAAACACCAAAUUUUCGUGUCGUUUUCGUGUCGUGUUUUUGCGUCGUAUGAAAAAUUGCCGGGUCUAGCUGCAAGUUGUUGGCAUCUGCUGUAACAAAGUGACAUUUUGCUGAAGGAAAUAAAGUCUAUUGAUUUGACUGUGAGCGCUAUCAUUUAAUCCAUGAGUUAACUGUAGUCUAUCUUCAAGUAAGGCUUUGCUGCAUCCGCGCCACUGGGUUACCCCCACCCUUUGUUAAAAGUAGCGAAUUUUUUGCAGGUUUCUUUUGCUUAAGUUGCAUUGUACGUAAAUUCUAUUAUUUUAAAGGGCUAACUCAUGAUUUUUGUUGAUUUUUAUGUCUUUGCUCUUAUCAAAAGCAAGAACAUUCUACUGGUUCCGAUCAAUGCUUGGCUCUGCUGUACGUUUAGCUUAGGACAUUUUUACUUAUCAGAAGCCUUUUCUAAAUAUGUGUCCGGCAAUGAGGUGGACUUCAUCUGUUUCUCUGAUUAUAUUUGAUUACAAGAAAUUAGAGAAGCCUUCUGCAUCUCUUCCUUUAAGUAAAGCACCAGCAGAAGAUCAGUUCUCGCGACUUCAAAUUUAUAUGCACCGGUGCAUUUGCAAGAGCGGCCCUCUCGAGUCUUUACUUUACAUACAAUAAUUUCCCUGCCAGGUUUGGUAAUUCAUUUUCAGUUGUGCUGCAUCAUUAUUAUCUGUUACUUGUUGCUUUCUGAAACCGCUCUAACUUCGUUUUUCUGGUUUAAAUACUUGCCUUAGCCCUCAGUCGGUGAUGGUUCAAUCCAACAGAAUCAUAUCCUUCCUCUGCCCCUACAAUAAUUGGAGAACAACCGAAACUCAAACAUCAAUUUUGUCAUACCAGUAAAACCUAAGAACUUGAUAUCGACAAUUAUGUUCACCUAAAUCAGUCAUUUCUAAGCUUGGCACAUCAGCCUCACGUCGAGUGGGUCCACCGGGUCCCUUGCUGUUAUGUGAUCUAAUAUCACGUACUACUAUUUAUUUCUCUUGGUCCUGAAAAUCCAAAUAUCGUUGAAAGCAAUAAAUAGGAUAUCCCAACCAUAUAUGUCAGUACUCAAGAUUAGAUUGUAAAUCUCUUCUUGCUUACGUAGCUGAUAUGAUUAUAAGCUGGAUCACAACUAACAUGUUUUGGAACUAUACACACUUGGUCUAACUCAAAGUGAGCCAGUGAAAUCAAUUGAGCAAACAAGGCGUUUCCAUGGAGAAGGCGCGGUCCAGUGCUGGUGUUCUGCAUACAAAGUCACCCUUGCGUCGCACUUGGAUCAACCGUAUAUUUGCAGUCAUAUACCUCAUACCGAUAUGUGCACUGAUGUAUCAUCACUGCCAUAACAUUAUUACUAGUACUGAUCAAGUUACCAAGAGAAACGCUGUAAUUUUUUUGAUAGCUGAUUCCAUUCUGGCAUUUAUGUGGAUAACUCGGCAGGCAUUUCACAUCUCGCCUAUCCGUCGCCAGGUAUUUCCUGAGAACCUGACAGCGGAUGAGAGUGAAUAUCCAGCUCUGGACGUGUUUGUAUGCACUGCUGAUCCGUUCAAGGAGCCGCCUAUAGGCGUGAUGAACACCGUCUUGUCCCUGAUGGCUUAUGAUUACCCGAGGGAGAAAUUGUCAGUCUAUGUAUCGGAUGAUGGAGGAUCAGAGCUCACACUGUUUGCUCUGAUGGAAGCUGCUGAGUUUGCUAAACAUUGGCUCCCGUACUGUAAGAAACAGAACAUACUCGAUAGGUCACCCGAAGCAUAUUUUACAUCAAGGACUAAUUUUGGUUUCCCAGAGACCGGUCCUGCUGCUACAAAACAUAAUCAAAUUAAGGUACUUCUCAGACUACAAUUGAAUGUCUCUGUGUAAUAAUUUGUAUACAUAAAUCAAUUAUUUGGAGGAGCUAUGAUGACUUGCGAAUUGUUGAAGGUUUUGUACGAAAAGAUGGAAUCGAGGAUAAAUGAAGUUGUCGAAAGAAGGAGCAUCGAUGGAUAUGUGACAGAUGAAGAAGCACUUCGAACUUUUGACAUAUGGCAUAAGACACCUGGUUUCACUCGACAAGAUCAUCCUGCCAUUGUUCAGGUUCAUUCUUUCCGAUUAUCUGUUAUUUUUCUAAUUAACAUGUUGAAUAUUUCAUUUUAAGACGGGGAAAAAGAAUACAAAUGCAUUACACAUGGUGCUCGACAUGAGAGUAAGAUAUUUCUCAAGUCAAAACUAGAUUACAGUCGAGUCUAGUUAACUUCUAUCUACUUAAAAUACUCGGACAUUACUAGGCUAUAACAGAUCUAUCUUUUCGAGUAGUUUCCUGAAAGAGGCAAGUAUCAUAUUAUUCAAAUUCUCCGAGCUGAAUAGGCCUAUAGUAUAGUUUGAUCCCAACGGUGAUCUGUAGUAAAUCAGGAAGAGUAUUAAUAACUUGAGUAUUAAUCGGGAUGAGGAUCUUGCAGAUAAUCAUGGAGAGCGCCAGUGAAAAGGACGAGUCUGGUAACAGAAUGCCUAAUCUUGUGUAUGUAUCCAGAGAAAAGAAGAAGACUACACCCCACAAUUACAAGGCUGGUGCGCUCAACGUUCUGGUAAUAAUGUUUAUAAUUGUUUUUGAUCACACACAUAUAUAGGUAAACUGAAAGUUAAUCUUCAUUUCUUGUUAAAUUCACAUGUUUUACAUAUUAAUGCAUAAUAAAGCUUCGAGUAUCAGCAACCAUGACAAAUGCUCCACUGGUGUUAACACAAGACUGUGACAUGUUUUCAAAUGAUCCCAAGACACCACUCCGUGCACUCUGCUACUUUAUGGACCCUGGAAUGGACCCAAACUUGUCGCUGGUCCAGUUCCCUCAAGCUUUCCAUGGGAUUAACAAGGAUGAUAUAUACAGUGCUGAAAUUAGAGAAAUACUCGUCCAUAAUACUUUGGGAAUGGAUGGUUUAUUAGGAGCUUUUUACAUGGGUUCUGGGGCAUUUUUUCGUCGACAAGCUUUCUUUGGAACUCCAGUAUCACAUAUACCUCCCCAGCCUUCAGAAAUUAGUCCUCGUCAUGUUGUUAGUAAGUCAAUGCACUCCGCGGAGAUUUUGGCUCUGGCACACCAUGUUGGAGGCUGUAACUUUGAGGCUCAAACCAAGUGGGG